CGUGGCGCAAUGAAGGUGAA
RNAcentral lists this non-coding RNA (20 nucleotides) under Mus musculus (house mouse). The record is from RNAcentral. Lineage: Eukaryota; Metazoa; Chordata; Mammalia; Rodentia; Muridae.